RNAcentral lists this long non-coding RNA (736 nucleotides) under Prunus dulcis (almond). RNAcentral describes it as "sRNA ncRNA". Lineage: Eukaryota; Viridiplantae; Streptophyta; Magnoliopsida; Rosales; Rosaceae. The record is from RNAcentral.
AAAAUAUAUAACAAACACUAAACUUCAACUUUUAGCUAGCUAUAGCCUUCCCUAGUUCGUCCUGAAAUUCCUGAAAAUGGGGAUUGAUCAGGAUGAAAUCUCCACGGAAACCACGACUCUCGGGGAAUUAUUAGUGGCGGAAAACAUCGGAUCCCGACACAGAAAAGUUGUCAAGGCGCUCUACAAGGCCUUGGCACUGAAAGACACUAGUACCACCUCAAAGCUCGUGGCUCCGGAUCUUGAGUGGUGGUUCCAUGGACCGCGGCAUUGCCAGCACAUGAUGAGGAUGCUGACCGGAGAAUCGAGACACGUGGAGUUCAAGUUCAGGCCUCGGAGCAUCACGCCCGUUGGUGACCGAGUGGUGGCGGAGGGAUGGGAAGGAUCGAAGGCGUACUGGGCGCAUGUGUGGAGCGUCAAGGAAGGGAUGAUCACUCAGUUGCGUGAGUAUUUCAACACGUGGGUGACGGUGAUUGUUGGGAAUUCAGAAGUUGAGGAUGAGAUGAUGAAGCUGUGGCAGAGUGAUCCUAGGGAGCGGUCUCAACGCUCAUUGCCAGAUAUUGUACUAGCGAUAUGAUCAUAUAUAAUAAUCGUUUUAGGAAAUUUGAGAUUUUCUCUUUGAACUCAAAUUUCUCUUACCUUUAGCUAUGAUACUUUUUUAGUUAAAAGCGCGAGGACUAGAAUCCAACUAAGUAAAUUUCCUAAUCAAACUUGAUGUUAAUUUAGGAUUUGUAUUAUU